GGAUUGCUUGAGCCCAGGAGUUCUGGCCUGUCAUGUACUGUGACCAUGAGGUGUCCACACUAAGUUCCACAUCAAUACGGUGACCUCCUGGGAGUGAGGGACCAACAGGUUGCCUAAGGAGGAGUGAAGCAGCCCAGGUCAGAAAUGGAGCAGGUCAAAACUUUCAUGCUGAUCAGUAGAGGAAUUGUACCUGUGAAUAGCCACACUGCAGCCUGGGCAACAUAGCAAGA
This 230-nucleotide signal recognition particle RNA is filed under the name Gorilla gorilla gorilla (western lowland gorilla). RNAcentral describes it as "Metazoan signal recognition particle RNA". It matches the Rfam family "Metazoan signal recognition particle RNA", at positions 55 to 288 of the family's 299-position model. From Rfam's summary of the family: The signal recognition particle (SRP) is a universally conserved ribonucleoprotein. It is involved in the co-translational targeting of proteins to membranes. The record is from Rfam by way of RNAcentral. Lineage: Eukaryota; Metazoa; Chordata; Mammalia; Primates; Hominidae.